CUUGUGUUCAUAACUGUGGAAACAGUUUUUUGUCAUUCCCUCAAUGGUAUCAGGCACACUAUGGUUAGGACAAUUUCUCAAGAGUGUGACAUACUCAGGUAUAUUUGUGUGUGAUUUUUAGACUAAGUUCUGUUGCAAGUACUCUACAGACAGAACAAGUCACCAGUAGAUGACGCAUUUCUGACCACAGCAACCUGAAGAGGAAAGGGGUGUUGUUCCUCCAAAUUCAGGUGUGCAGGAGAAUCACCAGGAAACUUGCUGAAAGUUCAGACUCCUUAGCUCAACACGGAGAUGUGUCUGUGAGUUGAAAGCGGAACCCACGGAUGGGCCUUUUAACGAGUGAAAUUCAGAUGCACCUAAAUAAUCUUAGCUCAUACUCUGAGUCAACAAAGGACAGCAUUUCUGAGCUCCUACCAUUAACCAAGAGGAUGCAAGAGCGGAGAGAAACCAUCAGCUUCUCCCUCCCCUCCCUGGAGCUUCCGAGGGGAAUGGCCCAAAUCCGAGUGCACGGGAGCAGCCUUCUGCAGAAAGCCCCCCAGAUCGUGAGCAGCUGGUGUGGGGGGAAGGAGGGGUCUAUGGAGGCAGCAGUCGUGAGAACCCCAGUGGGUGAAUACGGAGCGGGGAAGCUGAGCCGAGCAGAGAGAGAAUGGAAAGAAAGGAGCCGGGAGCUGUAUGCACCGUCCAGGAGGGAAUUUGUACACCACAUAAAGGGGGCAAAUAUUUCGAACAGAAAAGUGAAGCGCAGUACUGGAGCUGAGGACUCACUGAACAAGAUUUGGAUUUUAGAAAACUCUGUGGGCAACAGUAGGAAAG
RNAcentral lists this long non-coding RNA (813 nucleotides) under Fukomys damarensis (Damara mole-rat). RNAcentral's name for it is "lncRNA (ENSFDAG00000021809.1)". Lineage: Eukaryota; Metazoa; Chordata; Mammalia; Rodentia; Bathyergidae. The record is from RNAcentral.